This 491-nucleotide ribosomal RNA is filed under the name uncultured bacterium. RNAcentral's name for it is "partial 16S ribosomal RNA". It matches the Rfam family "Bacterial small subunit ribosomal RNA", at positions 29 to 506 of the family's 1533-position model. The record is from RNAcentral.
AGUGAACGCUGGCGGUAGACCUAACACAUGCAAGUCGAACGGCAGCACAGUAAGAGCUUGCUCUUACGGGUGGCGAGUGGCGGACGGGUGAGGAAUACAUCGGAAUCUACUUUUUCGUGGGGGAUAACGUAGGGAAACUUACGCUAAUACCGCAUACGACCUACGGUUGAAAGCAGGGGAUCUUCGGACCUUGCGCGAUUGAAUGAGCCGAUGUCGGAUUAGCUAGUUGGCGGGGUAAAGGCCCACCAAGGCGACGAUCCGUAGCUGGUCUGAGAGGAUGAUCAGCAAAACUGGAAAUGAGAAACGGUCCAGAAUCCGACGGGAGGCAGAAGUGGGGAAUAUUGGACAAUGGGCGCAAGCCUGAUCCAGCCAUACAGCGUGGGUGAAGAAGGCCUUCGGGUUGUAAAGCCCUUUUGUUGGGAAAGAAAAGCAGCAGGUUAAUACAACGCUGUUCUGACGGUACCAAAAGAAUAAGCACCGGCUAACUUCGU